CUGCUGUGUGCAAGGAACCCAGGUAUCUAAAUUAUAUGGAGGAAGGCAUACUGGAAAAACAUAUACAUUUGUUUUAUUAAUAUAUUUCAUACAACCUUUCCAUUGACUGUUGCAAUUUGGUCCUAUUUACACCUCAUGGAUUUUAAUGCUUAAUGUCUCCUGCACCUGACCUCUCUGAAUAAAGGUCUCUGAUAGCGGAAUAGUCAUGUUUUCUCUUCUACCACCUAUUCUCCCCACAGAUGGUCUGUUUUGUCAAGCAUGCUGAAAGGAAAGGACUGACAUCUAAAUGAGAAUGAAGUUGGUUGCUCCCUUGAGUGUACCAGGCUGGAUGUACUGAGGCAGAGUUUGGAUCUCUGAAGUCUCCAUCUGGCUUUGUGGGUCUUUAGUGCUGGGAUUAUGCAGUGACACCCCAAAUAUACACAUGCUUCAUCGGAGGCAGAGUCACCUCUGCUGCAUGGCUUUAUUUUAAAGUCUGGCCCCUCUUCUGUAAGGCUGCUGUGGUUUUCUGGGGGUCCACUCCAGACCCUAUUCACCUGGGUCCCUCCCGCACCUGGAGGUGUCAGCAGUGGAGACUGCAGAACAGCAAACAUGGCUGGUUGCUCCUUCCUCUUGGAACCCUGUCACAGAAGGGCAGCCAUCUGAUGCCAGCAGGAACACUCCUGUAUAAGGUGUCUGGCAACCCCUGUUGGCAUGUCUCACCCAGUCAGGAGGCACCAGAUCAGUGACCCACUUAAUGUACUCUGGCUGCCCCUUGGCAGAGCAGGUGCCCUGCACUGGGGGAAGUCCUCCUCAUGUGGACUGCCCAGCCUCUUCAGAGCAAGCAGGCAGGAAAGACAAAGUCCACUAAACUGUGGAAACUGUGGCCACCCCUCCUCCCAGGGUCUCCAUCCCAGAGAGUUCAGAGUUCUGUCUGUAAACCCCUGGCUAGAAUUGCUGAAAUUCCCAGGGAGGCCCCACCCUGUGAGGAGGAAUGGAUUCAGGUCCCACCUAAAGAAGCAGUCUGGCCAUUAUCUGCCACAGCUGCUGUACUGCACUGUGGGAAUUCCUCCCAGUCCAAACUGCCCAGCUUCCCUGGCACCAGCAGGGGAGAAUGACAGACUGGAGCCACAGUGAUGGUCAUCACCCCUCUCCCCAGGAACCUGGUCAUCUUAGGGAGUCUCCAGACUGCUGCCGCUGGCUACAACUCAAGCAGCCACCAAGAGUUUACAUGAUUCUGUGCUCAGGAUCCAAGGCCCUGAUGGCAUAGGCUCACAGGGGGAUCUCCUGAUCCACAGAAAAAGCAUGGUUUCCCUGGUGAGGUAGCACAAUCACUCACCACCUCCCUUGGUUGGGGGUAGGAAUUCCCCUUAACCUAUGUGGCUCUCAGGUGGGCUGUGGCUCCACCUUGCUUUUUCUCACUCUCUGGGUGUUGUACCAACUGUCUAGUUGGUCCCAAUGAGAAAAACCUGAAUACCUGUGCUGAAGGUGUAGGAUUUACUUGCCAUUUUCAUUCUUCUCCAUGAGAGCCACUGACAGCAGCUGCUUCUAGUCAGCCAUCUUGCC
This 1542-nucleotide long non-coding RNA is filed under the name Homo sapiens (human). RNAcentral's name for it is "HSALNT0073775". Lineage: Eukaryota; Metazoa; Chordata; Mammalia; Primates; Hominidae. The record is from RNAcentral.